RNAcentral lists this unclassified non-coding RNA (400 nucleotides) under Hevea brasiliensis (rubber tree). Lineage: Eukaryota; Viridiplantae; Streptophyta; Magnoliopsida; Malpighiales; Euphorbiaceae. The record is from RNAcentral.
AGCCUUGAUGGAGUGAAAAAUUCCUUCAGUGUCACCAAGAUGUAGAUCAUCUUUAGAUGUCUGAUCCUUGAUAAGUACCAAACUUCCUAUUGAAUGGUAGAAGUCAAGCAACAAACUAGCACUGCUGACAGCAGCUUGAAUUUUUGAAACAACGCCCUCAAAAACUUCCUCACUUAUCUCACAUUUUAAUAUUCCAUUCACUUUUAAAGCAUAAAACAAAUCCUUUGAUACUGAAGAUGACGNCGGGUUUCCAUUACAGAACGGCAAGCUGGUAAACUUAUGUCCGGCUUUUUAUCAAGUCCAAGAACCUCAAAUGUCCGAAGGGCCUCAAAUGUUUCUUCUAAACUUCUAAAGGACCCAUCAAGAGGCGUGAAAAGCUCCAAAGCGGCAGAUCGGUGGG